RNAcentral lists this ribosomal RNA (257 nucleotides) under uncultured bacterium. RNAcentral's name for it is "partial 16S ribosomal RNA". It matches the Rfam family "Bacterial small subunit ribosomal RNA", at positions 524 to 777 of the family's 1533-position model. The record is from RNAcentral.
UACAGAGGGUGCGAGCGUUAAUCGGAAUUACUGGGCGUAAAGGGCGCGUAGGUGGAGAUUUAAGUCGGAUGUGAAAUCCCUGGGCUUAACCUGGGAAUGGCAUACGAUACUGGAUGUCUAGAGUUGAGUAGAGGGAAGUGGAAUUUCCGGUGUAGCGGUGAAAUGCGUAGAUAUCGGAAGGAACACCAGUGGCGAAGGCGGCUUCCUGGACUCAAAACUGACGCUGAGGCGCGAAAAGCGUGGGGGAUCAAACAGGG